GAUGAACGCUGGCGGCGUGCUUAACACAUGCAAGUCGAACGAAGCGUGGGGAGGGAAGCCUCCGGGCGGAACAUCCCAUGACUGAGUGGCGGACGGGUGAGUAACGCGUGGGGAACCUGCCCUAUACAGGGGGAUAACGGCGGGAAACUGCUGUUAAUACCGCAUAAGCGCACGAGGGCCGCAUGGUCUGGUGUGAAAAACUCCGGUGGUAUAGGAUGGACCCGCGUCUGAUUAGCCAGUUGGCGGGGUAACGGCCCACCAAAGCGACGAUCAGUAGCCGGCCUGAGAGGGCGACCGGUCACAUUGGGACUGAGACACGGCCCAGACUCC
This 330-nucleotide ribosomal RNA is filed under the name uncultured Lachnospiraceae bacterium. Its description in RNAcentral is "bacterial SSU rRNA". It matches the Rfam family "Bacterial small subunit ribosomal RNA", at positions 28 to 339 of the family's 1533-position model. The record is from RNAcentral. Lineage: Bacteria; Bacillati; Bacillota; Clostridia; Lachnospirales; Lachnospiraceae.